Molecule: ribosomal RNA, 253 nt
Filed under: uncultured bacterium
Lineage: Bacteria
Description: partial 16S ribosomal RNA
Rfam family: Bacterial small subunit ribosomal RNA
Source: RNAcentral
UACGUAGGGGGCAAGCGUUGUCCGGAAUCAUUGGGCGUAAAGAGCGCGUAGGCGGCCCGGUAAGUCUGCUGUGAAAGUCAAAGGCUCAACCUUUGAAUGUCAGCGGAUACUGCCGGGCUAGAGUCCGGAAGAGGCGAGUGGAAUUCCUGGUGUAGCGGUGGAAUGCGCAGAUAUCAGGAGGAACACCAACGGCGAAGGCAGCUCGCUAGGACGGUACUGACGCUGAGGCGCGAAAGCGUGGGGAGCGAACAGG